RNAcentral lists this ribosomal RNA (697 nucleotides) under Escherichia coli. RNAcentral's name for it is "partial 23S ribosomal RNA". It matches the Rfam family "Bacterial large subunit ribosomal RNA", at positions 496 to 1194 of the family's 2925-position model. Lineage: Bacteria; Pseudomonadati; Pseudomonadota; Gammaproteobacteria; Enterobacterales; Enterobacteriaceae. The record is from RNAcentral.
CAGUACCGUGAGGGAAAGGCGAAAAGAACCCCGGCGAGGGGAGUGAAAAAGAACCUGAAACCGUGUACGUACAAGCAGUGGGAGCACGCUUAGGCGUGUGACUGCGUACCUUUUGUAUAAUGGGUCAGCGACUUAUAUUCUGUAGCAAGGUUAACCGAAUAGGGGAGCCGAAGGGAAACCGAGUCUUAACUGGGCGUUAAGUUGCAGGGUAUAGACCCGAAACCCGGUGAUCUAGCCAUGGGCAGGUUGAAGGUUGGGUAACACUAACUGGAGGACCGAACCGACUAAUGUUGAAAAAUUAGCGGAUGACUUGUGGCUGGGGGUGAAAGGCCAAUCAAACCGGGAGAUAGCUGGUUCUCCCCGAAAGCUAUUUAGGUAGCGCCUCGUGAAUUCAUCUCCGGGGGUAGAGCACUGUUUCGGCAAGGGGGUCAUCCCGACUUACCAACCCGAUGCAAACUGCGAAUACCGGAGAAUGUUAUCACGGGAGACACACGGCGGGUGCUAACGUCCGUCGUGAAGAGGGAAACAACCCAGACCGCCAGCUAAGGUCCCAAAGUCAUGGUUAAGUGGGAAACGAUGUGGGAAGGCCCAGACAGCCAGGAUGUUGGCUUAGAAGCAGCCAUCAUUUAAAGAAAGCGUAAUAGCUCACUGGUCGAGUCGGCCUGCGCGGAAGAUGUAACGGGGCUAAACCAUGCAC